This is a long non-coding RNA of Macrobrachium nipponense, 437 nucleotides long. RefSeq lists it as uncharacterized. The transcript is spliced from 3 exons. Lineage: Eukaryota; Metazoa; Arthropoda; Malacostraca; Decapoda; Palaemonidae. The record is from RefSeq and is a predicted model, not a curated record.
GUUGAGCUGCUGUGAGUUUACGUUGGGAAUCUGUUGAUCGUCUAGUGGAGUUUUAUUCGUGUUCAUGUUAUCAUGUUUUUCGGCGUCAUUGAAUCGUGUACUUCAUUAACAAUGGGAUGUCCAUAUAGUGAGGAUGUUCGUCGGGUUUCGUUAGCGGACGUUUUGGUCUUGCAGAUCCAGUGAGGUGAAGCGCAAGUCAACCGCAACCGGACGAAUUGAAGACUACAGCCCAACAAGGAAAAUGGUAACUAUACCAUUGAAAAUGAUUGAUGGUAUCUGACGGAGUCGAUAAAUGGACCGACGCUUAUUAACAUACAAAUAGCAGAUAUCUUUUGACCCUACAUCAUCGACUCUUUUUACCAGUUACGUGCUGUAAUAAGGAUUUCUGGAAUAGAGGAUUUCUGGAAUUAUAAGGAUUUCUGGAGUUUCAAGGCUAC